GACGAACGCUGGCGGCGCGCCUAACACAUGCAAGUCGAACGAGCGAGAGAGAGCUUGCUUUCUCAAGCGAGUGGCGAACGGGUGAGUAACGCGUGAGGAACCUGCCUCAAAGAGGGGGACAACAGUUGGAAACGACUGCUAAUACCGCAUAAGCCCACGGGUCGGCAUCGACCAGAGGGAAAAGGAGCAAUCCGCUUUGAGAUGGCCUCGCGUCCGAUUAGCUAGUUGGUGAGGUAAUGGCCCACCAAGGCAACGAUCGGUAGCCGGACUGAGAGGUUGAACGGCCACAUUGGGACUGAGACACGGCCCAGACUCCUACGGGAGGCAGCAGUGGGGAAUAUUGCACAAUGGGGGAAACCCUGAUGCAGCGACGCCGCGUGGAGGAAGAAGGUCUUCGGAUUGUAAACUCCUGUUGUUGAGGAAGAUAAUGACGGUACUCAACAAGGAAGUGACGGCUAACUACGUGCCAGCAGCCGCGGUAAAACGUAGGUCACAAGCGUUGUCCGGAAUUACUGGGUGUAAAGGGAGCGCAGGCGGGAAGACAAGUUGGAAGUGAAAUCUAUGGGCUCAACCCAUAAACUGCUUUCAAAACUGUUUUUCUUGAGUAGUGCAGAGGUAGGCGGAAUUCCCGGUGUAGCGGUGGAAUGCGUAGAUAUCGGGAGGAACACCAGUGGCGAAGGCGGCCUACUGGGCACCAACUGACGCUGAGGCUCGAAAGUGUGGGUAGCAAACAGGAUUAGAUACCCUGGUAGUCCACACCGUAAACGAUGAUUACUAGGUGUUGGAGGAUUGACCCCUUCAGUGCCGCAGUUAACACAAUAAGUAAUCCACCUGGGGAGUACGACCGCAAGGUUGAAACUCAAAGGAAUUGACGGGGGCCCGCACAAGCAGUAGAGUAUGUGGUUUAAUUCGACGCAACGCGAAGAACCUUACCAAGUCUUGACAUCCCUUGACGAACAUAGAAAUAUGUUUUCUCUUCGGAGCAAGGAGACAGGUGGUGCAUGGUUGUCGUCAGCUCGUGUCGUGAGAUGUUGGGUUAAGUCCCGCAACGAGCGCAACCCUUACUGUCAGUUACUACGCAAGAGGACUCUGGCAGGACUGCCGUUGACAAAACGGAGGAAGGUGGGGAUGACGUCAAAUCAUCAUGCCCUUUAUGACUUGGGCUACACACGUACUACAAUGGCGUUAAACAAAGAGAAGCAAGACCGCGAGGUGGAGCAAAACUCAGAAACAGCGUCCCAGUUCGGACUGCAGGCUGCAACUCGCCUGCACGAAGUCGGAAUUGCUAGUAAUCGUGGAUCAGCAUGCCACGGUGAAUACGUUCCCGGGCCUU
Molecule: ribosomal RNA, 1333 nt
Filed under: uncultured bacterium
Lineage: Bacteria
Description: bacterial SSU rRNA
Rfam family: Bacterial small subunit ribosomal RNA
Source: RNAcentral